RNAcentral lists this microRNA precursor (72 nucleotides) under Podarcis lilfordi (Lilford's wall lizard). Lineage: Eukaryota; Metazoa; Chordata; Lepidosauria; Squamata; Lacertidae. The record is from RNAcentral.
UGUGUGUGUGUGUGUGUGUGUGUGUGUGUGUGCGCGCGCGCACGCACACACAGACACACAGACACACAGACA